RNAcentral lists this ribosomal RNA (468 nucleotides) under uncultured bacterium. RNAcentral describes it as "partial 16S ribosomal RNA". It matches the Rfam family "Bacterial small subunit ribosomal RNA", at positions 28 to 507 of the family's 1533-position model. The record is from RNAcentral.
GACGAACGCUGGCGGCGUGCUUAACACAUGCAAGUCGAACGGAAGGGCCCUGCUUUUGUGGGGUGCUCGAGUGGCGAACGGGUGAGUAACACGUUAGUAACCUGCCCUUGACUUUGGGAUAACUUCAGGAAACUGGGGCUAAUACCGGAUAGGAGCUCCUGCUGCAUGGUGGUGGAUGGAAAGUUUCGGCGGUUGGGGAUGGACUCGCGGCUUAUGAGCUUGUUUGUGGGGUAGUGGCUUACCAAGGCUUUGACGGAUAGCCGGCAUGAGAGGGUGACCGGGCACAUUGGGACUGCGAUACGGAGCAGACGGCAACGUGAGGCAGCAGUGGGGAACAUUGCACAAUGGGCGGAAGCGUGAGGCAGAAAUGCCGCGUGCGGGAUGCCCGCCUUCGGGUUAUAAACCGCUUUCGCCUGUGACGAAGCGUGAGUGACGGUAAUGGGUAAAGAAGCACCGGCUAACUACGUG